UGGGGAAUAUUGCACAAUGGGGGAAACCCUGACGCAGCGACGCCGCGUGAACGAAGAAGGUAUUCGUAUCGUAAAGUUCUGUCCUAUGGGAAGAUAAUGACAGUACCAUAGAAGAAAGCUCCGGCUAAAUACGUGCCAGCAGCCGCGGUAAUACGUAUGGAGCGAGCGUUGUCCGGAAUUAUUGGGCGUAAAGGGUACGCAGGCGGUUUAAUAAGUCGAAUGUUAAAGAUCGGGGCUCAACCCCGCAAAGCAUUGGAAACUGAUAAACUUGAGUAGUGGAGAGGAAAGUGGAAUUCCUAGUGUAGUGGUGAAAUACGUAGAUAUUAGGAGGAAUACCAGUAGCGAAGGCGACUUUCUGGACACAAACUGACGCUGAGGUACGAAAGCGUGGGGAGCAAACAGG
RNAcentral lists this ribosomal RNA (403 nucleotides) under bacterium. RNAcentral describes it as "partial 16S ribosomal RNA". It matches the Rfam family "Bacterial small subunit ribosomal RNA", at positions 355 to 776 of the family's 1533-position model. The record is from RNAcentral.